This 461-nucleotide ribosomal RNA is filed under the name uncultured bacterium. Its description in RNAcentral is "partial 16S ribosomal RNA". It matches the Rfam family "Bacterial small subunit ribosomal RNA", at positions 338 to 795 of the family's 1533-position model. The record is from RNAcentral.
CCUACGGGGUGCUGCAGUGAGGAAUAUUGGUCAAUGGGCGCAAGCCUGAACCAGCCAAGUCGCGUGAGGGAUGACGGUCCUAUGGAUUGUAAACCUCUUUUGUCGGGGAGCAAGGCCCGCCACGUGUGGCGGGAAGGAGAGUACCCGAAGAAAAAGCAUCGGCUAACUACGUGCCAGCAGCCGCGGUAAUACGUAGGGGGCAAGCGUUAUCCGGAUUUCCUGGGUGUAAAGGGAGCGUAGACGGUUAAUCAAGUCAGAAGUGAAAACCCAGGGCUCAACCGUGGGACUGCUUUUGAAACUGAGUAGCUAGAGGGCAGGAGAGGUGAGCGGAAUUCCUAGUGUAGCGGUGAAAUGCGUAGAUAUUAGGAGGAACACCAGUGGCGAAGGCGGCUUACUGGACUGUAACUGACGUUGAGGCUCGAAAGCGUGGGGAGCAAACAGGAUUAGAUACCCGUGUAGUC